CUACGGGGCGCACCAGUGAGGAAUAUUGCACAAUGUGGGGAACCCUGAUGCAGCAACGCCGCGUGGAGGAUGACGCAUUUCGGUGUGUAAACUCCUUUUAUAUGUCAAGAAAAUGACGGUAGCAUAUGAAUAAGCACCGGCUAACUCCGUGCCAGCAGCCGCGGUAAUACGGAGGGUGCAAACGUUACUCGGAAUCACUGGGCGUAAAGGACGCGUAGGCGGGUUGGAAAGUCAGGUGUGAAAUCCUACAGCUUAACUGUAGAACUGCAUUUGAAACUUCUAAUCUAGAGUAUGGGAGGGGGAGAUGGAAUUAGUGGUGUAGGGGUAAAAUCCGUAGAUAUCACUAGGAAUACCUAAAGCGAAGGCGAUCUCCUGGAACAUUACUGACGCUAAGGCGUGAAAGCGUGGGGAGCAAACAGGAUUAGAUACCCCUGUAGUC
This 439-nucleotide ribosomal RNA is filed under the name uncultured bacterium. Its description in RNAcentral is "partial 16S ribosomal RNA". It matches the Rfam family "Bacterial small subunit ribosomal RNA", at positions 339 to 795 of the family's 1533-position model. The record is from RNAcentral.